Molecule: ribosomal RNA, 1344 nt
Filed under: Poecilopsetta plinthus (tile-colored righteye flounder)
Lineage: Eukaryota; Metazoa; Chordata; Actinopteri; Pleuronectiformes; Poecilopsettidae
Description: 16S ribosomal RNA
Rfam family: Bacterial large subunit ribosomal RNA
Source: RNAcentral
AAAACAUUUUUCCCCCUAAGUAUUGGCGAUAGAAAAGGAAAUCACGGAGCCAUAGACUAAGUACCGCAAGGGAAAGCUGAAAGAGAGAUGAAACAGCCCAGUAAAGUUAUAUAAAGCAGAGAUUUAACCUUGUACCUUUUGCAUCAUGAUUUAGCUAGCACCCUUAAGCAAAGAGCCCUUUAGUUUAUUCCCCCGAAACUAGGUGAGCUACUUCAAGACAGCCUAUUAAUAGGGCAAACCCGUCUCUGUGGCAAAAGAGUGGGAAGAUCUUCGAGUAGAGGUGACAGACCUACCGAACCCAGUUAUAGCUGGUUGACUGAGAAUUGGAUAGAAGUUCAGCCUCCCGGCUUCUCCCUUCAUGUAAAUUCAAAAUUUAAACAGAUUACCAAGACAACCGAGAGAGUUAGUUAAAGGGGGUACAGCCCCUUUAAAAAAAGAUACAACUUUAACAGGCGGAUAAAGAUCAUAAUUAACCAAGGAAAUAUAUUUUAGUGGGCCUAAAAGCAGCCAUCCUGAAAGAAAGCGUUAAAGCUCAAAUAUAACAUUCCCCCCUUAUACUGAUUUCCCCAAUCUUAAUCCCCUCCUAAAUAUCAGUCUAUUCUAUGCCCCCAUAGAAGAAACUAUGCUAAUAUGAGUAAUAAGAGAACCCCUCUCUCCCCGCACAUGUGUAAAUCGGAACGGACCUCCCACCGAAAACUAACGGCCCCAAACCAAGAGGGCACUGAAAAUGAAACUUAAUAGAACUAGAAAAGGAUUCAAAACAAAACCGUUAAUUCUACACUGAUGUGCACCCAAGGAAAGACUAAAAGAAAAAGAAGGAACUCGGCAAACAAAAUUAUAAGCCUCGCCUGUUUACCAAAAACAUCGCCUCUUGCGAAAAAAGAAUAAGAGGUCCCGCCUGCCCAGUGACAACAGUUCAACGGCCGCGGUAUUUUGACCGUGCUAAGGUAGCGUAAUCACUUGUCUUUUAAAUGAAGACCUGUAUGAAUGGCAUAACGAGGGCUUAACUGUCUCCUUUUUCAAGUCAAUGAAAUUGAUCUCCCCGUGCAGAAGCGGGGAUAAACACAUAAGACGAGAAGACCCUAUGGAGCUUUAGAUGUUAAGACAGCCUAUGUUAAAAGUACCCAAUAAAGGAUUAAACUAAAUAGGCUCUGCCUAAAUGUCUUCGGUUGGGGCGACCUUGGGGAAACACAAAACCCCCACGAGGAACAGGAGCACUUAACCCUUGUAUUUACUACCCUCCUAGAAAUUAGAACUACACUUCUAAUAAACAGAACUUCUGACCAAAAAUGAUCCGGCAAAGCCGAUCAACGAACCAAGUUACCCUAGGGAUAACAGCGCAAU